CCCAAGGCCCCGCCCCCUACAGGCUGCCCUCCGGGAGCUACACCUUGUACCCCCUGAGUCCCCUUCCACUCAGCCUCACCUCACAGGCCCGACCGUCCCACGAGGCCCGGUGAGUCCUCCAGGACCCGCUCACCUGCGCCGCUCCCCGAGUAGCCACGCCUUCCGAGGCCCCGCCCAGCCAUACACGCAGCACGGCGCGCUCAUCUGGCUUCCCUUGAACCCUGUACACGCCCAGUCCUUCGGACUCGGGGUGAGCACGUGCGCGGGGCCUGCUGGGCAGAGCCCUGAACGCCGCCGCCGGGGAUUCCAGUCCCCACCCCGCCCCAGCGUGGACCCUGCAGCCAGGGCCUGAAGUAGAGCCACGGGUGGACUUCCUCAUCCUCGUGGAGGCAGACCCCAAGGAGAUUCCCCGAGCAUGGCGCCUGGGCCCGUGCGUGGGGAAGAGUGUGGUGCACCCUGCCCUCGAGUUCGCUGGCUGCGCAAGACUGAUGAGACAGGCCACUCUUCCAGACCCUGAGCACGCUGCCAGAUGAAACACCUAAGGCUGAUGUGCAGAGAAUGGAACCCGGAGUCAGAGAUGGCUUGGGAGGCCUGAGUGCCCUUGGGAGCUGAAGAGAGGCGGGUCCUGCUCAGCUCGGGGAUAUCCGGCACUUCCCGUCGCUCCAGCCUCCCCAGAGUAGGCACCCAGUCCCUUCCCUUCUUCCCAUUCUGGGUUUUUUGGGAGACACCGCUUCACCCGAUGAGGAAGAAAGCUGCCCCUCCGGAUCCUCACCUCCAGUCUACAGGGCCACCCACACUGGGUGCUUCCUUUCUGGCUUCCUUCUGGCCCUGGGGAGGUGGGCGGGGCUCUGGGGUUAUGAGAGGAGGGUGUUGGUGCAGUGCGGGGCGCUUCCCGAGGGGGGAUGGCCCGAACAAGGCCCUGGAUUGCUGCUGUGUUCGCUCGGGGGUCAGAGGUCAGAUGGGGUUCGAAGCUCAGGGGUCAGAGGUCAGAUGGGGUUCGAAGCUCAGGGGUCAGAGGUCAGGUGGGGUUCGGCCCCCAGGUGGGCGGAGCGUGACCUCCCAGGGCUCAUCUCCUUCCAGGCAGGCUCUGAUCCACACGCACAGUGGAGCUGUUAUGGGACCCUGCCUUCCAGUGUCUCCUGUGCCUGCAGAUUCGUCAGGGACGUGUUGCCUCUUACUGCUCUGGGGAAGAAGCCGGAGAUCCAGGGCGGCGUGGCUGUGGAGAUGAGCUCAGAUGAACAUGGAAGGCUCAGGCUGCAGUGUGGACCACAAGAGGGUCCCUAAGACUCUGCUGGCAGGCAAGAAAAUCUUGUGAUGUUGGCCUGAAGGGAUCCCCCACACACAGCAAUUCACUCAGCAGUCCAUAUCCUCCCUUCGCUGAGUGGAUUUCUCAUGCAUUAUUUCCCAUCUCCCCUGCCACUCCUCGUGGACACAUGAACAAAGAUUUUUCUUCUUGGAACCCUAGGUUGGAGGAUGGUGUCACUGGAACUGUUCAGUGAACAUCUGCUGGAUGGGUAAGUGGAUGGUGGAUGAAUGGAUGAUGGAUGAAUGGAUGGAUGGGUAGAUGGAUCAGUGAGUGGAUGGAUGAAGGGAUAGAUGGAUGGGUAGGUGGAUGGAUGGAUGGAUGGGUGGGUGGGUGGAUGGAUGGAUGGGUGAAUGGUGGAUGUUAAAUUAAUGUUGGAUGGAUGGUGGACUGCACAGAGACCUGCCCUUGUUCUGAGGCAAUAUUGCAUAAAUUUAUACAUCACUCAAGCUAUUAUUAUUAUUAUUAUUAUUAUUAAUUAUUUUAUUUUGGUGUUGAAGUAAUGAAGUCAUGGCUGGGAAAACUUUCAGACCAC
RNAcentral lists this long non-coding RNA (1838 nucleotides) under Fukomys damarensis (Damara mole-rat). Its description in RNAcentral is "lncRNA (ENSFDAG00000021791.1)". Lineage: Eukaryota; Metazoa; Chordata; Mammalia; Rodentia; Bathyergidae. The record is from RNAcentral.